GUCUGUUGUAAACGGCGGCGUUAACGUGAGCGUCCUAAGGUAGCGCGAUAAUUUGCUUUUCAAUUGAAGGAUGGUAUGAAAGGGUUAACGAAGAAGGUGCUGUGUCUAAAAAUUCAAUUUAAACUAACUUUAAGGUGAAGAGGCCUUUAUGUAAAAGAAGGACGACAAGACCCUAUGAAGCUUUAUCUUAAUUGGAGCUCUCAGGCUCUUAUACGAUUUUGAUGGGAGAUCAGUAGAAAUAAGUCUUCUACUAUCAUAUUAAUCUUACUAGUAUUUCCUAACUUUAUAUGUGUGGCUAGCUACUCUAGGGAUAACAGCGCAAUUUCUCCCGAAAGAUGGUAUUGGAGGGGAAGAUUGCGACCUCGAUGUUGGCUUUAGAUAUCCUAGAGGCGUAGAAGCUUCU
Molecule: ribosomal RNA, 403 nt
Filed under: Mytilus edulis (blue mussel)
Lineage: Eukaryota; Metazoa; Mollusca; Bivalvia; Mytilida; Mytilidae
Description: partial 16S ribosomal RNA
Rfam family: Bacterial large subunit ribosomal RNA
Source: RNAcentral